RNAcentral lists this long non-coding RNA (17930 nucleotides) under Lynx pardinus (Iberian lynx). The record is from RNAcentral. Lineage: Eukaryota; Metazoa; Chordata; Mammalia; Carnivora; Felidae.
AAAUGCUAAGAUAGAUUGUUUAAAUAUUCAGGGCUUCAGCUAAAGAUCUAACCACUAAGAUCAAAAGAGUUAUUUAAAUAAAAAUUGUACAGACAUUUUUUUUUUUGUUUUGUCUGUAUUAGUAACGGUGCCUUUUGAAGUUACCCAGUAGAGUGUUUAUCUGAAAUGCCCUCACCUAAAUUUAAAGAAAUAAAAAAAAAAUACAAAAACAUUGCGUUUGACUUUGGGUAUAGCUUGAUUUUAGUAGAUACCAAAAGGGUGGCAACUGUUUUUAUGUUUAGAACUUGACAGUUGCUUUCGCUCUAGGUUCAGGUGGCACUUGGAAUAUAGCUGUUGUACAAAGUUCUUUUAUUUCUGUUUAAUCCUGAAGUACUUAAAAAAAAAAAACCACCUCUGGUGGGUCAAGUUUUUCAACUAGCUGUCUCUCCCCUUGAAUAAAGGGUUUCUAUAAAAGAUAAAAAAAUGGAACUGAUAGAAAAAAUAGAAGGUGCCAUAGAAGAAUACACAUAGUGGUAUCACCACUGUCACUGGUCGAUGAGCUCUUCAGCGUGAUGUUAACUCCGCCUUGUUUGUGGAAAGGAUGUUAAUCAUUUCAUUAAGAAAGGUUAAAUAAUUAACUGAUUUAUCAUUAGGGAAUCAGUGACAGACCCUUUUUAGUGAUGCCUGGUAGAAAUUUUCUAAUACAGACUCUGCUGCAUUUAAUUAUCUGGAGAGAAGCUAGCUGGACCUUGAGAGGAUGGGCAUGGGGCGGCUCUAGAGAGUAUCGCUGUUUGUGCGACUGUACACCAUUUUAGAGAAGCUAGUGUGCGGAAAUAGAAAACGGUUCAGUUUCGGAUUUUCCUUUAUGGCCUUCGUCAGGCAUGUUGUUGCAGACCUGCUGUUGUGCAUGCCUUCUCUGGGUUUAGGAAGGGUUCAACCGCUUAAAUAUGCUCGUGUUAUUUUCUAAAUAAUGGCUUUUGUGCAGUAUGAUGCAUGUUGACAGUAAAUGCACGGUCGUAACUUUGGUAAGCUUACAACAAAUUCUUAUACCUGUAGGAGCAAGCCAUCGUCCUUGCCACUGACUGGGGGGCUUCUCCUGUUUGUCUCUCGCUGUCUUGUGGCAACUGCUACACAAGGUUUAAAUAUUCCAGGAAGGGGGUGGGGGAUGGGAUGUGAGGGGGAAUAUAUUCCCCAUCUGGCAAAAAUUUACCCUUCUCUUAUACCCUUUUGUCCCCAGAUCAUACACAAGGUGUGUUUCCAGCUUAUUCUUCCUGUGCAUAUAUUCACAUCAACUCAAAAUUCAAAAGAUACUUCAAGAGAGGUCAGAUGUCUGUAUUCGUUUUUGUUUCUGUUAGGAAGCAGGGCAGUCACUUUGAGUGGAAAGAUCAUCUCUGGGUCAUAGCGGAGUACCGAGGUAGAACAAUUCUUGAGGGAAGCAGCAAGGCACUUUGGAAAAUACCGAAAAUGGGUUUUGUAUCGGGAUGCAGCAUUUAGUGUUGUAACAAGUGCCCGAUUGUAGAAUAAAAUGCGAUGUGAUGGCCUCAAGCACUUUGAUCUUUGAGUUGAGAAUAACUUCUGAUGAGAGAAAUCUGGCAGAUAUUUACAAAGCUCUUUGUCUUAAAACUGUGCGCUUACAUCUUUCCAUUUUUAUUAUGAAAUACACGACACCAAAAAGGUAUAAUUUAAAGGAUAAGUCAGUGAGCACCCAUGUACCUGCGGCUCAUGCUCAGAAAGAACACAUUUCUCAACCAGGUUGAAGAGGCUCUUGGCCUAUCUGCCCUAUUCCUACCUCUGUCCUUGUCGCCUGGAGGUGACCUCUGCUCUCAGCUGGCUGGUUUUCAUCCCCUGGAUUUCUUUAUGUCUUUAAUACCUAUGCAUCUAUUCCCCCAAAUAUAGAGUUUUCUUGUUCAUGUUCAAGAUUUAUCUUGAGCGGUUCUGCUGUGUGUGUGCUUUAGUAACUUGCUUUUUUGUUAUUGUUCAGUUAGAGUUGGUGAAAUUCAUCCGUGUGGAUACAUGUAGCUGUAGUUUAUUCAUUCUCCCAUUUGAGCCUUUUGAAGUGCUGAAUAUUAUUCGAGACGAGUUCUUUACAUUUGGAUCCCAGCCGCAUUCUGCAGUAUUACAUGUUGAAAUUUAGGAUUAAUGUGAAACUAUCAGUCCUGACUCAGACUUCAUAAUUCGUUCAUUUACGACUGUUUUUUAUUUUUUAUUUUUUUUUGCGGGGGGGAGGCUUUAAAAUCAAUACCAGGGAAUUUGAUUUAAAAAAAAAAAUAAUGUAUCAAGUGGUUGAUCUCUUACAUUUAAGGAAAAAAAAAACAGGCGAGGCAUUCAUCUGAAGGAGCCUAGCCAUUUUCUCAUUCUUAUUUAAAGACUUGGCUUAGAACUUAACAGUUACAUAUGCAGGGUAGCAAGUUAAAAAGCGAUGUUUAAUUAACAGGCGCUUUAUACUUCUGUAUCCUUGUUAUGAUAUAGCACCUUGUUCUUCAGUGUAGAAAGUGAUUUCUGCAUAUUUUAAAGGACUGGCAUCUUUAUGGUAAGAAAGCCAUAUAAAUAAAGAUAUACUCAGAUGAAAAUCGGAACAUGUUUUUAAAAUAGUGUGUGUCUACUUUCAGCUCUGUUAUCAAACUUGCUGCAUAAGCCGGAGUUGAUGCUCUGUGAUUAUGCUAAUGACCAAAGGAAUCGAUGAUGCGCGACUAGAUGAAAUCAGUGAUCAGUGGUAGAACCAGAGAGAGUUAUCAGUUUUUUUGUCAUUAAAUAUUAGUGAUAAAUAAUACACUGUUCAUUUUGAGUAGCUAGAACAUAUUUAAUUCUGAUGUACAGAGUUUCGAUUUAGUCAGGCUUAUUGCUGAGUAAAAUGAUAAUCUUUUGUAAUUUGAGGGGAAAGAUAGAAGGCAUUUGUGUCAGUGUGGCUAAGUGACUUGGGUCAUAGAAAUGUUUACCUAGACUGGCCAGGGAAGGUUGGAAAAACUUUUUCUUUCCUCCUAGACAACUUGGAUAUUUGUGCUGACGUUUUAUUAGGAAUAUCACAUACUCAGUAAACAGCAUAAGUGACCAGAGAUGUUAAACAAAAUGAGUCUAAAGGUAGAUUGUGUUUCCCUAAAGAGUAGAGGUAAAAUAUAACAAAGGGGAAUGUUUGGACAACGCUCUUUUUAGAGGCGGGUGUGUGUUAAACGGGGACCAUUAGAGUCAGUGUUACUAUUAAACAAUGGCUUUAAUUAAAAAAAAUGUUUUUUUGAGUUUCUCAUAACAAAGUUAUACUUGGUAAUGGUUUAUUUAAAGAGAAGUAAUACUUGUAACAGAGCAUCUUUUUCUAGGUUCCUGAAAUCUUGUGGGAAAACAUUGACACUGCCUUCUUUGUUGCAAAGGGGUUUCUAAAGCCGUUCUCCCUCAAAGACAUUCCUUCCUGGGCAGAGUUGAGCAGGUGUCUUACUACUCUACAACAGUACCAAGGUGACAUGAGAGAAAACAAAGGAAUAAUUAGCUGCGGUUUAUAGGACAUAAAGAAAGAGUGAUUGAAGGCUAUAAAAGAAGGAAAUCAGAUUGAAGGCUGCUAUGAUGUUACUUUUUAAAAACGCAUUGACGAAAUGAUCUCUUGAAAGCAGACUCCCACCCUGGAUUGCGCCGACCGUCGUCUGCCAUUUUCCUGUCUGCUGUCCUGUCCGUCCAUGUUGGCUCUUAUCAGCAGUACCAACUGCUCUUCGAGCAGCGGCCUUCCCUGUGGUAAGGCAGGCCAAUUGGGUCAAUUUUUGUGAUCUGGCAGAUGUCCACUGGGAGCUCAGAUCAGGCCAGGCUCAUUUUUAUGUGUGUCCAAAGCCAAGAUUUCAACUUGGUGAAAGGCUGUGGAAUUUAUUUCCCAAAGUGCUGCCCAAACUCUGUUCUUCUUUUCUUCAACUGCCUCCUUGGGCUGAGAUGAUUGCUUAAUACUCUUAAUUAUGCUGGAUCCCUCUGUGUUUUUGAACACCUGUGCGUAAUUCAGAUCAUGGGUGGUCACAGAGCCUGGCUCACUAAACAGCUUCUCUUUCAGAGUGGGAAAAUCCCAAGGAGCCUGACCAUGCACCGUGUGUUGGGGGGCUGAGAAGAGAUUUAAAGAGGAUGGAACGUUUCUCUUGAAUUUCCAUUUUGCCCUGUAAAAGGUCCUCAGUCUUACGUCGGGGAGAGUGUUAGGAUGAAUACGUCAGAAAUGGCAUUUAAAAAAAACUCUUAUUCAUUGCUGGUGGGAAGGCCUAAUAGUUACAGCCACUUUGGAAGACAGUUUGAUGGUUUCUUAUAAAACUAAACAUACUCGGGGCACCUGAGUGGUCCAGGCGGUGAAGCGUCCAACUUUGGCUCUCAGGUCAUGAUUUCGAGGUUUGCGAGUUUGAGCCCUGUGUUGGGCUCUGUGCUGACAGCUCAGAGCUUGGAGCCUGCUUUGGAUUCCAUGUCUGUCUCUCCCUCUCUCAGCCCCUCCCCGUUUGCGUGCUCUCUCUCAAAAAUAAAUAAACAUUUAAAAAAAUUAAAACUAAACAUACUCUUUCCAUACUAUCUUGCCAUGGCCCUGCUUGGUGUUUACCCAAGGGAGUUGAAAACUUAUGUCCACAGAAAACCCUGCACACAAAUGUUUAUAGCAGCUUUCUUCACGAUUGCCAAAAGUACGAAGCAACUAAGAUAUCCUUCAGUAUGGGGACAGAUAAAUAACAACUCUGGUACAUCUAGACAAUGGAGUAUCGUUCAGCACUAAGAAAAAGUGAGCUGUAGGGGCACCUGGGUGACUCUUGAUCUUGUGUGUGUGUGACUCUUGAUCUUGGGGCCAUGGGUUCGAGCCCCACAUUGGGCGUAGAGAUUACUUAAAAGAAAAAGAAGUGAGCUGUCAAAUCAGAAAAAAAAAAACAAAACAAAACAUGGAGGAACCUUAAGGGCAUGUCAUGGGGUGAAAGACAUUCUGCAAAAGGCGAAAUUGUAGAGACAGGAAAAAGAAUAGUGGUUGCCAGGGGUGGGAGAGAGAAGGAUAAAUAGAGCACAGAGGAUUCUUGGGGUGGUGAAAUAUUGUGUAUGACUCUAUAGUGGUGGAUACAUGUCAUCAUACAUUUGUCCAGACCUCCAGAAUGUACCACACCAGGAGUCAGCCAUGCUGUUGUAAUGUAAACUGUGGACUCUGGGUGGUUAUGACGUGUCAUUGCAGAUUCGUCGUUUGUAACCAGUGUCCCACUCUGGUGAGGGAUGCUGGCAGUUGGAGAGACCGUGCACGUGUGGGGCCAGGAGGGUUAUGGGAGCUCUCUGUACCUUCCCCUUGAUUUUCCUCUAACCCUUAAACUGCUCUAAAAAAGUAAGUCUUAAAAAAAAUUCCUGGGUUGGGGUGCCUGGGUGGAUCCAUUGGUUGAGUGUCAGACUCUUGAUUUUGACUCAGGUGGUGAUCUCAUGGUUCAUGGGUGCGAGUCCCGUGUCAGGCUCUAUGCUGACAGUGUGGAGCCUACUUGGGAUUCUCUCUCUCCCCCUCCCCCACUGGUGCACACUCUUUCUCCCUCUUUCCCCCCACUUCUCAAAAUAAAUAAACUUAAAAAAAUUCCUGCAUUGCAAGUGAUCCAUAACCCUUCUCCAUAUCCGUAUUCUAAAAUCUCUAUCUAGUUGUUUAUCUGCUUUACCUGUGCCAAAUGAGCAUUAGAGUUUCUUGUGAGGACAGUGAAGUAGGCCAGAGCCAGUUUGUUUUUGAGACAGCGUUUUAGUGUGGGAACUUCUUGGGCUGCCCUUAACCCCCCAGAGUGGGAUCCUGGGAGACCUAUAGAGUCCUCAUUGAUGACCUGAUCUGAGCCACCCCUUGUCUGUCAGGAGACUGUGGUUCACAGAGGGGACGUGACUCUUGUCCAGUGAGAUAGCCCCUUGGAUCAAAUCCUGCCUGGCCACCUGCAGUAAUCUCCAUAUCUACAUUUAUACACACGUUUAUGUAUAUGUGAUUGUGUGUAUUUACGUGUGUGUGUUUGUGUGUAUGUAUAUUUUAUUUUAUUUAUUUUAAAAAAAAUUUUUUUUUCAACGUUUAUUUAUUUUUGGGACAGAGAGAGACAGAGCAUGAACGGGGGAGGGGCAGAGAGAGAGGGAGACACAGAAACGGAAACAGGCUCCAGGCUCUGAGCCAUCAGCCCAGAGCCUGAUGCGGGGCUCGAACUCACGGACCGCGAGAUUGUGACCUGGCUGAAGUCGGACGCUUAACCAACUGCGCCACCCAGGCGCCCCUGUGUGUAUGUAUAUUUUAAAAAAAACAUUACAGAUAAUACAGCACAUAUAUAUAUAUAUAUAUAUAUUUUUUUUUUUUUUACAAGGAUUUAUCCUACUCUGUAUCAAGAACAUUUUUUCUAUAUCAGUCUCUAUACGAUUGUUAGUAACUAUUUGCUCUCAGCUGUACACGCAUAUAUUUUCUUCCCCUGCAAAGAAACCCUUUGGGAGGACAGCACUAUAAGGACCAUAUUGUCUCCUUGAUGUUUGUAAUGUACUUGGGAUCGAGGCUACAGUAGACGUCUGGAGCUGUAAGGUUAUAACAUACGUGUGUUAUACCAUCGUGUGUAUGUACUGAUGUGUGUUUGUGUUCAGGAGGUGUACAUUUUAUUGUGAAUAAAAUAGGAUAGGUUGCGGAUCUAGAACUGUGUUUCAGGUGAGUGGUUCAGAUUUCUACAAACCUUUGAGGUUAGAAUGCACCUGUCCCAUCACUCCUCCAUUAAACCCACUGGUGACAUCUGUGUCUUUGCCAUGGGGUUCUGACAUUCACACCGGGCACAUUUUGCUUUGGAGGUUGGAACAUGUGUUAGGAAUGAGGUGAAGAAAUUCUUGGUAUGUGCAUUAAAUAAUACAUUUUUGAGAAUCUAGGACAUCCCAGCCAGGUCACAUAGAGUGUAAAUAGCCCGUGAAACAAGUUAUUUGUUAAAACGGCAACAACAACAACAACAAAAACCACAAAAAACAAAAAAACGGUAGAAGUAAGUAAGUCUGUGUUAUGAGACCUUUGAAAAUUCAAAGAAUAAACAGAAUGUGGGAGCUGACCGGCUGUUCAUUUGUGGGGCCUUGUUAAAUAUUAAGAAUUUGAGGAUAGUGAUGGCAGAGCCUUAAACCAAGUUCGGGGCAUUCCCAUGCCCGGGUCCCGGUGUGGCUGCCCUUGUCACACACCCGUGAAGCAGGUCCUGCUUGGGGUUGGCUUCUCACACCAAGAUUUCCUCCCCUGCAAAACAGGAAGACCCAGCUGGGACAGGCAUGGCUGGCUGAGGCCCUCCUAUGCCACUCGUGCUUCGCGAUCUUGACUUCCUCUGCAUUACUGAAUCCAGAUGGGGCUCAGGUUUUUGUUUUUUGUUUUUGUCGCAAGUUUUUAUUCACAUUCCAGUAAGUUAACUUAUAGCGUGAUAGUAGUUUCAGGGGGCUCAGGUUUUAAAGCACGUUCCUCUCCCUGGGCUGUUGAGAUCCGCUGAGUGUCAAAGAAUGGCCAUCUUCUGGAGUAAGUGUUUUCUGCGGGCAGUUUGCAACAUUCUGUGCGGGAAGCUAAUCCUGUUCUUGCUUGCUCGUUCUUUUAUUCUUCUACAGCCCUUUCCCCAGGAUCUUGCCACUUUGACUGUACCUUCUGUCCCUGUCACCUUCCUUGUCCUUCAUUGUCACCUGCCCUUGGCUUCAUUCUGCAAGGGGCCUGCUAGGCCUAGAAUCUGAAGGCAGCCUCAGAAAAGAGCUUCUACUCUUCCCCCUUUGAUCCCAAACUGUAAUUAUUAAAGAAGCAGUUUUAUCUUGAGGGGCACUGGUUGGUUUCCUGCCUACAGGAAUGGCCGGCUAACCAGGCCCAUGCCGUGGAGGUGUGGUUGGCCCAAGCUGCACCAAAUGCAACAAUAAGGGGAUGUUCUGCCUCUGCGCUGGGCACUUGUGGCACCCUCAUUGAUGAGGAUGAGCUUCUGUAAGACGGUUCAAGUCCAGUCGACUCUGAAGAAAGUGACGGGACUUUGUAGUAGUACCCUGUUUUCGAAUUGUAACAUAACUGGAUGAUCCUUGGGCCAGGCAGUUUUUGUCCCCUCCACAGACACGCACUGAUUCUCUGCCCUUCUGUAGCUCCCACGUGCUGAGCGAGUGGUGGAGUCUUUGAGUCUUUGACUUUGGUGGAGUCUUCGUGGCGGCGAUGCUGCCCGGUGUUCAGACUGAUGGGAGGCACGAAGGAGCACGUGUCUGCAAAGCGCUUAACAGAGCUUCUGGCUUGUCACAAACACUUGGCUUUUGGUGACUUUAUUAUUAACAAGAACAAGGCCUGUUGCUGGAUUUCUGUGUUUUGGGGACAAGGUCUUGGAAGGGCGAGCCCUGCUUUCUCUUCAGAAUGUGUGAUGGCGAAGUUGGGAGCCCUCCAUCACCUCUCCCCUGCUUUCCUGCUCCGUCCGCCUUCCCCCGUGUGUUUCUCCCCUCGGCCUCUUGCCUCCUUCCCGCUCUGUCCGGCACAGUAACUCUUCCUGACGUGAGGGUGUGCCACAGUUUUGGGGGCACUCCGAAUGUCUGCUGGUGGUCUUUUUGGCUGACAGGCCAUCUCUGGGGGCCCAGAGAGGUGUGGGCAUGUUUUCUGGGGAGGGGUCUGAUGAGUCUCUCAGGAGCACCCCUGAGGCCAGACUGGAGGGGGCGCUCUUCCCGACUCCGGAAGCUUGAGAUUGCUGGGAGCAGGUUGGCACCGGUGUCUGCCCACCACCGCCUUCAAGCAUCCGUGGAGGACUUGGUGCUUUUUCUGCAGAGAAGAGCACUAACUGGCCCCCUCCCGCUCCCCCAGCUGUGCUACUGAAACUCAGUUCCAGCGUGUGAUCCCCUGUCGGGCUGUGCUCCCUCAGUGUCAGGCUGUGAACACCAGAGCGUUCCUCUCCAGCUCUUCGCCAGAUUGCCCAUUGAAUUGCCUUUUUUCACAACUACCUUAAUCGUCCACUACGGGGACAGGAAAUGAUACUGCAGUUGGGUCAAACGUUAGGCCGCACCAGGGUUUUCUCUAGUCAGGUUUGGGAUUUGAAUGUGUUUACGGAGUCUGUCUGUAUUAUUUUUCCCUGGCCUGGCGUCUGGUGUUUAGUUCCUAGGGGAACGAGAAUGCUGCUCAGGAUGGCUCACCGUUUGCAAGCCAGUUAAUUAACUUGUGAUCCAUGCACGGUUUUCGCUGUCUCUGUCUCCCCACCCUGGCAGGGCAGUUGGAGAAUGAACAGGCUGUGCACUUAGCAGGUUGAGAAGAGGGACCGCACGCCUGAAAGCGGGAAUGGCCCUUGGUGAUGAGGACCCAUGAUAGGUGUGCCAUUCGCCAUCCAGGUAGCUCCAUCUGGGCUGAGUGUAUGUGGAAUGAAUUGCUCAGAGUUUAUAACAGCCUCCAUUCUGGCUAUUGAGAGGCCAUGGGUAUUCACGUACCUGCAUAUUUGUCGGUGAUGAUAUAUAACGGGUAGAGAAUUUAGUUCUUUCAGUGGCCAUCAUGGAAGGAACACAUGGGAAGUUCCCCAUUUUUUGACCUCUUCACUCAUUUGUUCAUUUAUUGACCCAGCAUUACUCCCAGGUCAGGAGCCAUUACUUCCUGAUGCCCCUCUUUCCCCCCAGCUUCAUUUUGGACCUUCUCAGUUAGGUGUUCCAAUUCAACAACGUUCAGACAUCCGAAUGUCAUUGUUCACAGGGAUCUUUGUCAGCCAGCCUAUGACAUUCAUCUAGUUCCACCUUUUGUUUACUAAAUAUAUGGCCGCCCAGAAGCAAAUGACUCAUCUGUACGCUUAGUUACCAUUUCUGUAACAAAUACGGCUUUCGGUUACAUUUUGACUACCAGCACUGUACUAGGUAGUAUACCAAGUAUAAGCAGCCGCCUUUUCUUUCUAGCCUGAGUACUUAAUUAAGACCUGACAGAUUGAUUUUUCCAUUAGGCCAGAAGGCAGGUGUCGUCUUGAGCAAUUCUUGAUUUGAAUUUCCUAUUAAGAGUCUGUUUAGCGUUCCCCUCCCCCACCAAAUAUGUGUAUUUGACGAAGACUGUCUUCUACACAGUGAAUUGUAUGCAAUGAAUUGGGAGGAACCAAAGUAAAAUAUUGUAAUAAUUUCUUUUUAAAAAGGUACUGAUAUGGAAUUGCUUUGAUGCCUGCUAUAUUCUUGGUGUCUCCAGGGAAAGCUGCCUUUUAAGUAAUGUUGAGUGGCAGUCUGAGGUUCAUAAAGCUGUCAUUUCUCAUCUUUUUUUUUUUUUUUACCCCUGAUGCUCUCGAUCUGGGACAGAGUGACAGAGACAAUGGUGUCCACAGCCCCUGACCCCUUGGUGGAUGAUUUGAUUUCUUUCCUUCCCUCUUUUCAAUGUUCAUUCUCCCAAAAUGGCACAGAACUAACUUCCCGAAAGGACUGUUUACCCACUUAUUAAAAUACAAAUUUCUACUUACAAAUUAAAACUCUGUAGAAGCCAGUCAACUCUAGUGAUAAAGAGUUUCAUUAAUGCCAAGGACGCCAUCUAGGCAAGGGACACCAGUUCAGGGUGUCCCAAAUUCUCAUACAGUGCAUUCGUGGGUGUCAGACACAUUGUGUCUUGAUUAAAGUCAGGGAUUCUGGAAUUCUGCAAACUUGAGUUUAAAAAGCCUUUUUAAAAACUUGAGUGACUUAAAGCCUAUUAACCUUUCUAAUUUAUCUUCAUAAGGGUGUGUGUGUGUGUGUGUGUGUGUGUGUGUGUGUGUGUGUGCGAAUAGAAGGACAUAAUGAUAGAACUUCAUUUGUUCUGUGGAUUAGGUAACAGAAUCCACACAGAAUGUGAUGCAUGGUCUCUGGCCAGUAUAGGAAGCAUCUUUAUACCUGUUAGCUCUUAAGAUUAUGAUUAUUCUAUGUGUAUUGUUUAAAAGUCACAUCAAAGGGCUAAGAUGGAUAAAAGGUGUGAACUUGGCAAAGAUCGCUAAAACCCGGAAGGAAGUGUACCUCACAGACGUGGAGGGAAUUGGAACCUCAGGUUAAUUACCUUGUUGUUGUGUUUUGGGGUUUGUGUUGAUUGCACUGGUUUUGUCUCUUGACUUUUGAAUAAGCUCCUAAAAUAUGGUUUUGUGGGGUGUUUUUAUUUGCUUCUGAAAUUGGUGCAGGUGCAGAUAACAGGAAACGAAACCUUAGGCAGCCCGAGGGAGCCUCAUUCAAAUUGUGCCAAGCAGGUAUAAUAUACAAGUGUUAUCGCCUUACUGAUAAUCUGGCAUGCUGUGGGUAUUCCACGUGCCCUGUGGAUUACAGAGAGUGAAGUCAUACAGCAGUUUGGCCCCAGCCCCUAGCAAGGAGGAGACAGAGGAGAGCCCUCAUUCUUAAAGACAGUGUUAAAGCACAGCUUUGCUUGUCCAAGUGCACAGGAUUGCAGUUGUGCUUCUGUCCGUUGGCAUUUCACGUUACCUUGGAGGCUACACCUUUGGCGUGCAGCGAAGGUACCUUUGGUGUGUGAAUUAGCACCACGUCUCUGGAGUUAAAGAGUCUACCCUGGGUUUGAGACUACGUUACAUAUUGCCCCAUAUUUGGACUGUAGAAAAAGGUGAAAAUUAAAGACCUGUGGCUAGAAUACUAAGUUUUCCCAUUGUUCGAUAGCCCGUUGGUUAUACCUAAAGAAAGUAGUGUCUUUAAGGCUUAAUUUAGUUUUUUGUCCUAGAGGAUUUAGGGACAGACCAUGGUUGUCUUGCCUGUGUAGUAGGGAAGGUUUCUCUUUUUGUCUUUGGCUGGAUCCUUGUUUUUGCAGGUACUGAGCCCUCAGACAUGCAUGAAAUCGGAUAAAAUUUUCCCAGCAUGGCCCCCCAUCCUGGAGGAGCCAUGGCAUAAGCACUUCUUUGUUGUGCCUGGAAGCAGGCCAUGUCGUUACGUGCAAGGUGCUCUUCUGUUUCUUGGUUUUGGUAAGGGAGCAUCUCAAAUAAUUUGUUUAACCCCAUGGUACAACCAGAGCCUUUAUAGCCUCCCGUAGUCCUCACUUGGCUGACAAUUUGUUUUCUCUUGUUUAAGUUGAUUCUUUCAUCCAUUCUCUGGAUGGACACAGACACACAGACAGACAGACAGACACACACACACACGCACACACACGCUCCUCCCUGCUUUGUUCACACCUUAUCUUGUGUGGCCAGCCUGGCUCCUACAUUUUUUUUUUUUUUUUUAUUAAGUAGGCUCCACGCCCAAUGUGGGGCUCAAACUCACAGGCCUGAGAUCAAGGAUCCCCAAGCCUGUCUCCUUCACUAAUUUUCCCAACCUCACUCUGCUCGCAUCCUCUAUUUUCCAGAAAAAGUCACUUGCUGGAGGCACAAUUCUUCUUUUGCCAUUGCCUCUCCAGUGGAGGGAUGGGAUGGGGAGCAGGACAAUGACUUGGGUGGGAGGCAAUUCAAAAUAAAAGGAGGAGAAAUAAAAGACAAAGGAUUGUGUCCAGAAGGUCCAGAUCACGUCUCUGGGGCCCGUUAGUCAUUCUUGUAACUGUUUGAGGAAAGCUGUAGACCCAGCUCCAGCAUUAAAUAAACCAAAUUCUUCCCUUACUGACAGGCAUGGUCUCUGAACCAGAAAGAGCCAGAUCAAAUCUUAGUGUGGUCUCUUAGUUUUGAGUUCUCUUGUGUGUGGAUUUCUUGGCCUCAGUUUGCUCUUGUGUAAAAUGGUCUGGUGAUGGUAAUACGAACCUGUUAGGGUGGUUUUGGGGAAACUCCCGUAAUGCCCAAUGUGUGGCAUAUCUGAACCUUCAAUAAAAGGUAGACAUUGUUAGCCCCAAUUAUUCUAAUGCCUGGGGGCAGCGAAUCCAUUGUGCCCAGUCAAGAAUUGAACACAUAGUGCAGUAGAUACUGAUUCAGACACUUUGGUUAGAAUCCCUAGCUUGCCAGUUAAGAGCCACGUGACCUUGGGGUGCCUGGGCGAUGCGGUUGAGUGUCCGACUUCGGCUCAGGUUAUGAUCUCCCCAUUUGCGGGUUCGAGCCCCUCGGUGGGUUCUGUGCUGACAGCUCGGAGCCUGGGGCCUGCUUCGGAUUCCGUGUGUCUCCCUCUCUUUGCCCCUCUUUUGCUUACGCUCUCUCUCUCUCUCUCUGUCAAAAAUAAACAUUAAAAAAAAAAAAAAAAGAGGAGUCCUGUGACCUUGCAAAAGUUCUUAAACAUUUGUGUGGUUCAGUUUUCUUACCCACCAAAUGGUAUGAUAGUACCUGUCACAUAAAGCUGAAGGGAGGAUUAGGUAAAUUAAUGCGUGUAAUUCACUUAGAACAAGAUAGAGAGUCUAGAACAUGGGGAGCCCUCAAUAAAUCAUAGAAGCUACUGUGGUUGUCCUGAUGACGCUCAUAAUGAUUAUUAUUACCCCUUCCCUGUCCAGGCAGAAACAUCCACCAAGAGGACUCACGUAGAACUCCUUCACGUCCUUCCAUUUUUCUUGACAGCUUGGGGGCAGACACCCAAAACUGAGACUUGGUGGGAGAGUCUUGGUGUUAAACCCAAACUUCCAUCAUCAGGCCUGAACAUUUGGCCCUUUUUCCUCUUUGUCUAGGAGACACAUGGAAGUAAUUUGUAGCAGUUGGGUAUCAGGCUUUGGCUUUGCCAGUGGAAGAUGAAAAACAUUUACUUGCUACUUGCCAUAACGUAUUUGUAUUUUCAUUGUUUCUUUCUCCAUACCCCCAGGAGAAAGAAAAAAUGAAACUGAAGUGAAAUACAUCUUUGUGAUUGCCUAAGUUAGCAGGAUGGUGGUGGAAGUACGUCCCAAGGCAUACACUGGUGCUGGAAGAUGAUGAGUUGCAUGGAAUAGAAUUUGAUGUGCCGUGAAUGUGUCUGGAACCACACGUAAGGGGACAGUUAGCACAUGCCAGCUCAACAGUCACUAGAGCACUGAGCACUAUUGUUAAUGCUUUGUAUGCAUAAUCCGUUCUAUCCUUACAACAACCUUGCGAAGAAGUUCGUUUCAUCUCCAUUUUAUAGAUGAGAAAACUGAGCUGUGGAGAUCAAGACACUGCCCAGCGUCACAUAGCUAGAUCUUUCCUAUUUUAUAUGAAAUGCUGGAGAGAAUCCAAGCAGGUCCUGGUGGCAAGGGUCCUCGGCUACCAUCUGGUUCAUCUGGCUUUUUUUUUUUUUUUUUGGUAACAGCUUUAUUGAAAUAUAGUUCAGGUACAUAAAUUCGCCAAUUUAUAGUAUACCGAGUUGCGAAUUUCAGUAUUCACAUAGUUGCAGAACCAUGAGGUCACAAUCAAUUUUAGAACAUUUUCACCACCCAGAAAAGAAAUGACAUAACUCUUUAACAUUAACCCCCUUGCCCAUUCCGUCCUAACCUACCUCAGCCCUAGCAACUACUAAUAUAUAUUUUUUUCUAUAGAUUUGUCUAUUUUGGACAUUCUGUAUAGAGUUACACAGCAUGUCGCCUUUUGUGUAUGGCAUCUUUCAGCAUGUUUCUUCACAUUUACCCAUGUUGUCACACGAAUCCGCGUGUAGUACGUCUUUAUGACCAAGUAGUAUUCCAUUGUAUAGAUGUACGACAUUUUGUUAUUCAUCCAUCAGUGAACCCUCUUUUGACUUUCUUGGUUUUAAAUAUUUAUUUUAUUUUAUUUUAUUGUGUUCUAUUGUAUUUUUUAAAAAAGUAUUGAUUUGUUUUGGGGGGAGCACAAGCGGGGAAGGGGAAGAGAGAGGGGGACAGAGGAUCCAAAGUAGGCUGUGCACUGAUAGGCUGACAGAAGCGAGCUGGAUGUGGGGCUCAAACCCCCGAACCACAAGAUCAUGACCUGAGCCGAAGUUGGACGCACAACCGACUGAGCCACUCAGGUGCCCCUACUUUUUGAUUUUUUAUUUUUAAGUAAACUGUACCCACAAUGUGGGGCUUGAGCUAUGACCCUGUGAUCAAGAGUCACAUGCUUCACCAGCUGAGCUAGCCAGGUGCCCCUCGCUUUUUGCUUUUGUGAUUAAGUUUACUAUGAACACUCAUAUGCAAGUUACUGUGUUGAUGUAUGUUUCCAAUUCUCUUGAGUCCCAAACCUAGGUUUGGGAUUGCCGCAUGAUAUGGUACCUUCUUUGUUUAACCCUUUGAGGAACUGCAGAAGCGAUUUUCAAACCCCCCACACCAUUUUACAUUCCCACUGGCAGUGUAUGAGGGUUCUAAUUUCUCCACACCUCCCUAACAUUUGGUAUAAUCUGUCUUUGCUUUUAACUGUCUUGUUUUUAAAAUUAGGAAACUGAGCCUUGGUGAGUCUUAAUGACUUGCUAGUUAUACUUGGUGGCAUGGACCCAAUUCUUCUCUAGGUAUGAAGCUACGAGGAUGAAAGACAUAGUCUUUAUUGCACGAGCUCACUGUCUGGUGGGGAGUUGGACACAUAGUCACAAUGUACAGUGCGAGUGGCUAUAUGAUGACAAAGUUUAAUGAGAGCAGAAACUUAUCUCAUACUCUAAGAAACGGAAGAUUAUUUAGUGGCUCAUAUAACGGAAAAAUCUUGUGCUGGUUAGCUUCAGGUACAGGUGGAUCCAGGUGCUAAAAAGAGGGUUAGUCAGAGGGCUGGCUGCCUCUUUUUUUCUCUUGUCCUUGCUCUCUCAUUGACUCCUUCAUUCUUAGCUCUCUGUCAUUUGUUUUUGUGAGAACACAGUUACUGGCAGAAUACCCUUCUACUCUAUCAUGUAAGCAUCUCUAGCAGAACAGGAGUUUUUUUCUAUAGUUUCUCUAUAGUUCCAGCAGGAGGCUUGCAUAAAUUACUCAUUGGCCCAGUAGGUUAAUGUAACAGCCUUUUAACCAGUUAGAACCAGUGUUCUGAUUGGUUAUCUUUGCUUCAUUUCCUUGCCUGGAGGUUAGAUGGGGGAGGGAUCAGUCCCACUUAGACUAUGGGACUGAGAACGGGCAAGGCGUGAUUCCCAACGGGAAAAUCAAAGUUAGGUUUAUAGAAGAGUAAGAAAUGAGGUUUGCCAGGUAAAAACAGCACUUGUUCAUUUCUACUAACGAGGAAGGUUUUACUCACCCAUUACAGAAAUCUGUAAACAGUACGGGAAUGCAUGCGCUGUUUAACUGGAACUUCAGCAGUGGGGUGGCCUUUGGCGGAUAGCUGAAUGUAGUGCAUGAGUUCUCAAUUAUACCCUGUCAUUGCCUUGGAGGCAAAAUGGCAGCCAUGGUUCCGACUGCCACACCAUCCAGAGGAAGAGGGAGGCUGCCUGGUCCAGUUGCUAUCUCUUAAGAGUGAGAAACUGCCUUGUCACCAGCUCCCCAGCAUACUUGGUGGGGCUCUGCUGUCUGGCCUGAACUGCCCAUUCCCAUGACCAGAUAGGUAUCAUUCCUUGAUUGGCUUGGCCUGGGUUUCUCAACCAAUCAUCAUCUCCAUUCAGCCCCAGCUUCUGGGGGAGGCAGAGGAGUAGCUUUCCCUGAAGCUCCUGCAUCCUGUAGGAGAAGGGUAUGAAGGGUACAGAGGGUACGUGUCUGAGUCAAAUGAAGGUUCCCUUCGGGAGGAAUAUGGCAAUGGGAGUUAGGGAUUCAUUUGGCAACACCAAGUUUGCUUUGCCUUAAAGAAACAGAGAUUUCCAAGGAGACACUGGGUGGCGGAAGUAGACAUUUCGGGCUCAGGGAAUAGCACGGGCAAAGCCACUCGUUGCCAACAUCGCAUAUAAAAUUGAAGGCAUCUCGGUGAUCUGUACCUUUUAUUGUAUGAAUGAGCAACUUAGAGAGCAGAAAGUAAGAGGCAGCGCUGGCCAUAGAACUUUCUGUUCUCCUUUCCUUCUCCCUCCUCUGAGCAGGUGGGAUGACAGUUGAAUGUGACUGGUCAGCCUCAGAGCUGUCUGUCUCCCUGUGGUGCGUCUCAUAGUGGAGGAAGCCAAGCAGAAGGAUUGCCUUUAUUUUUUAUAGCUUCUGGCUCAUAAUGUUCUAAAAAUCGCUUUAAGAACCAUGGGAGUGAGGUCUGUACUGCGCUCAGUGUGCAAUGAUUUGGGGACAUGGUAGACUUUUUACUUUCUUAAAAUAAUUAGAUACUUUUUUCAGGGAAAGUUUUAAGUUGACCAUUUGAGAUGUAGAAGAUGAUAUGGAGGCAAGCUAACAUUUAGUUAUUUCUUUUCCAAACACCUCAUACUAUUUUUAAUUUUUCCUCUCUCAUCUAUGUAGUUAGCUGGUAAUUGCCCAAUUAUUUGUUCAGAAAGAUACUUUUGUGACAUGCCCAACUUUGAGAAUGCUUUUCUAAAUCAUUAGUGAUAAAAUCAUAGUGAUUUUCUAAAACUGCAUAGUGUAUCUCCCACCUGUAGAAAAGAGUUACAUUGAUGUUUUUAGUGUGUUUCAAUUUCAUUUUUUCCCAUUCAUAUUAACAAACACAUGCAGGUGAGAUUAAACAGUUUCAUUUCCUGCUGGUUUGUAUCAUUAAAUGUUCUCUGUAAGCAUGAAUUUUAAAGAUCACUACAAUCUAUUCUAUUCAUAGUAUACCAUAAUUUCCUUAACCAUUCUCUUUUUGUUGGAUAUUUAUGUUGUUUCCGCCCUUUUGGUACUAUAAAUAACGGCGCAGUGAACAUCCUAGUGUAUAAGUUGAUUUGCAUCUCUUAUUUCCUUAGGAUAAAUUCUGUAAGUGGAUUUAUUGGAUCAGAAAUUGUCGAUCUCUUGGUGUUCUCUUGGCUGGGUCACCAGUUUCUUUUUCCAUAAGGGGCUGUGCCAAGUUCCACUUCAUUGCACCAGGGGCCAACACCGAAUCAACUAACCCACUUCCCCUUUUAUUAUUGACAGUUUUCUAGGUGAAAGACGGUCUAGAAUUCUGGUAACAUGCUCUUCUUUCUUAACUAAUUAACAUUAUUUUCUACACCCUCUGGUUUUUGGCUUUUUGUAGCACUUUUGUGAUUUACCUUUUUGUGCUGCAGACAGUUAAAAAAUAGGUUGUGGUGUUAAAAUACUGACUUAUAAGGGAUCUUUUUAUGUUAUGGAUUUACAUACUUCCCUGAAUUUUUCUUUUCCUUUAAAUGUUGUAUGUCUGAGACUUAGAUUUUUCUACUCAGAACAUUUUUUUCCCUCAGUUGCUGUAUAACUCCUGCAUUUUCUCCUUCCUUCACUUCUUCCUUUUUCUUUUCUUUAAAAAAAAAAAAAGAAGACU